UACGUAGGGGGCGAGCGUUGUCCGGAUUCAUUGGGCGUAAAGAGCUCGUAGGCGGUUUGGUAAGUCGGGUGUGAAAACCCCAGGCUCAACCUGGGGACGCCACCUGAUACUGCUAUGACUUGAGUCUGGUAGGGGAUCACGGAAUUCCUGGUGUAGCGGUGAAAUGCGUAGAGAUGUGGAGGAACACCAGUGGCGAAGGCGGCUCUCUGGACUGUAACUGACGCUGAGGCGCGAAAGCGUGGGGAGCAAACAGG
This 254-nucleotide ribosomal RNA is filed under the name uncultured bacterium. RNAcentral describes it as "partial 16S ribosomal RNA". It matches the Rfam family "Bacterial small subunit ribosomal RNA", at positions 524 to 776 of the family's 1533-position model. The record is from RNAcentral.